GAAAUGCGAUAAGUAAUGUGAAUUGCAGAAUUCAGUGAAUCAUCGAAUCUUUGAACGCACCUUGCGCUCCUUGGUAUUCCUGGGAGCAUGCCUGUUUGAGUAUCAUGAAAUCUUCAAAGUAAAUCUUUUGUUAACUCAAUUGGUUUCUACUUUGGUAUUGGAGGUCUUUGCAGCUUCACACCUGCUCCUCUUUGUUCAUUAGCUGGAUCUCAGUGUUAUGCUUGGUUCCACUCGGCGUGAUAAGUUAUCUAUCGCUGAGGACACUGUAAAAGGUGGCCAAGGUAAAUGCAGAUGAACCGCUUCUAAUAGUCCAUUGACUUGGACAAUACUUUUAUGAUCUGAUCUCAAAUCAGGUAGGACUACCCGCUGAACUUAAGC
RNAcentral lists this unclassified non-coding RNA (378 nucleotides) under plant metagenome. RNAcentral's name for it is "partial contains 5.8S ribosomal RNA, internal transcribed spacer 2, and large subunit ribosomal RNA". The stretch from base 1 to 105 matches the Rfam family "5.8S ribosomal RNA", at positions 50 to 154 of the family's 154-position model. The record is from RNAcentral.